GAUGAACGCUGGCGGCGUGCCUAAUACAUGCAAGUCGAGCGAACAGACGAGGAGCUUGCUCCUCUGACGUUAGCGGCGGACGGGUGAGUAACACGUGGAUAACCUACCUAUAAGACUGGGAUAACUUCGGGAAACCGGAGCUAAUCCCGGAUAAUCUAUUGAACCGCAUGGUUCAAUAGUGAAAGACAGUUUUGCUGUCACUUAUAGAUGGAUCCCCGCCUCAUUAGCUAGUUGGUAGGGUAACGGCCUACCAAGGCAACGAUGCGUAGCCGACCUGAGAGGGUGAUCGGCCACACUGGAACGGAGACACGGUCCAGACUCCUACGGGAGGCAGCAGUAGGGAAUCGUCCGCAAUGGGCGAAAGCUUGACGGAGAAAGGCCGAGUGAGUGAUGAAGGUCUUCGGAUCGUAAAACUCUGUUAUUAGGGAAGAACAAAUGUGGAAGUAACUAUGCACGUCUUGACGGUACCGAAUCAGAAAGCCACGGCUAACUACGUG
RNAcentral lists this ribosomal RNA (497 nucleotides) under uncultured bacterium. RNAcentral describes it as "partial 16S ribosomal RNA". It matches the Rfam family "Bacterial small subunit ribosomal RNA", at positions 28 to 507 of the family's 1533-position model. The record is from RNAcentral.